UUACUAUGUAACGUACGGAUUAUUGGGCGUAAGAGCUCGUAGGCGGUUUGUCGCGUCUGCUGUGAAAGACCGGGGCUCAACUCCGGUUCUGCAGUGGGUACGGGCAGACUAGAGUGCAGUAGGGGAGACUGGAAUUCCUGGUGUAGCGGUGAAAUGCGCAGAUAUCAGGAGGAACACCGAUGGCGAAGGCAGGUCUCUGGGCUGUAACUGACGCUGAGGAGCGAAAGCAUGGGGAGCGAACAGGAUUAGAUACCCUGGUAGUCCAUGCCGUAAACGUUGGGCACUAGGUGUGGGGGACAUUCCACGUUUUCCGCGCCGUAGCUAACGCAUUAAGUGCCCCGCCUGGGGAGUACGGCCGCAAGGCUAAAACUCAAAGGAAUUGACGGGGGCCCGCACAAGCGGCGGAGCAUGCGGAUUAAUUCGAUGCAACGCGAAGAACCUUACCAAGGCUUGACAUGAACCGGAAAGACCUGGAAACAGGUGCCCCGCUUGCGGUCGGUUUACAGGUGGUGCAUGGUUGUCGUCAGCUCGUGUCGUGAGAUGUUGGGUUAAGUCCCGCAACGAGCGCAACCCUCGUUCUAUGUUGCCAGCGCGUUAUGGCGGGGACUCAUAGGAGACUGCCGGGGUCAACUCGGAGGAAGGUGGGGACGACGUCAAAUCAUCAUGCCCCUUAUGUCUUGGGCUUCACGCAUGCUACAAUGGCCGGUACAAAGGGUUGCGAUACUGUGAGGUGGAGCUAAUCCCAAAAAGCCGGUCUCAGUUCGGAUUGGGGUCUGCAACUCGACCCCAUGAAGUCGGAGUCGCUAGUAAUCGCAGAUCAGCAACGCUGCGGUGAAUACGUUCCCGGGCCUUGUACACACCGCCCGUCAAGUCACGAAAGUUGGUAACACCCGAAGCCGGUGGCCUAACCCUUGUGGGGGGAGCCGUCGAAGGUGGGACCGGCGAUUGGGACUAAGUCGACCAAGGGAAAACACA
This 975-nucleotide ribosomal RNA is filed under the name Arthrobacter sp. RNAcentral describes it as "bacterial SSU rRNA". It matches the Rfam family "Bacterial small subunit ribosomal RNA". The record is from RNAcentral. Lineage: Bacteria; Bacillati; Actinomycetota; Actinomycetes; Micrococcales; Micrococcaceae.